GCUCUCUGCUGCCCCAGGAAUGGGCUGAUUUCCUGAGUACACAUUAAUCUGAGCUCCCUCAGCCCUAGGGGUAGGGGGAUUGGGGGCACAAGAUGGGUGGAGCCAGAUAGGGAAGAUUCCCCCAGUGUUGUCCUGCUCCCAGUCCAGGUUUGGGACAAUGCCGGCAGCGUUUCCCUGUGUCUUUCCCCCACAAAGUCUCCAAGUCUUUCCUCAAAUGAUCGUCAAGGUUUGGGAGAAACAAUCUCUUCCUCUGCCCGGGUUGCGUGGAUCUCCAGUGGAAAGGCUUUAUCUACCAAGAAAUGAAUUGGAUAAUCCACAUAAACAAAAAGCUUGGAAAAUUUAUCCACCAGAAUUUGCCGUGGAGAUACUUUUUGGAACCUGGCUUACCAGUAUAUCACCCCAGCGUUGACACACUGGGAACGGGUCACGCAUGUGGAUGAUCAAAGGUCAGCUCCUGGUCAAUAUGAGAAGACUGGUUUCAGAAAAGUUGAGUGCUGAAGACUACAAAGCUGUUUGUAAGUUAUCAAGCUAGGAUUUGAUCCCAGGUCUGCCUGAUAAAUCCUGGACUCUUAACCAUGACAUAGGAGUGCCCUCUUGACUCCUAUGAUGGCAUAAAGAAUUGUAUCAGAACGGGUAAUCUGGCAUUAAAACCCCUGUGCCAC
RNAcentral lists this long non-coding RNA (662 nucleotides) under Homo sapiens (human). RNAcentral describes it as "PREDICTED lncRNA (TCONS_00069745)". The record is from RNAcentral. Lineage: Eukaryota; Metazoa; Chordata; Mammalia; Primates; Hominidae.